This 432-nucleotide ribosomal RNA is filed under the name uncultured bacterium. RNAcentral's name for it is "partial 16S ribosomal RNA". It matches the Rfam family "Bacterial small subunit ribosomal RNA", at positions 29 to 506 of the family's 1533-position model. The record is from RNAcentral.
AACGAACGCUGGCGGCAUGCCUAACACAUGCAAGUCGAACGAGACCUUCGGGUCUUGUGGCGCACGGGGGCGUAACGCGUGGGAACCUGCCCUUAGGUUCGGAAUAACUCCCCGAAAGGGGUGCUAAUACCGGACAAUGUCUUCGGACCAAAGAUUUAUCGCCUGUGGAUGGGCCCGCGUUGGAUUAGCUUGUUGGUAGGGUAAAAGCCUACCAAGGCGACGAUCCAUAGCUGGUCUGAGAGGAUGAUCAGCCACACUGGGACUGGGACACGGCCCAGACUCCUACGGGAGGCAGCAGUGGGGAAUAUUGGACAAUGGGCGAAAGACUGAUGCAGCAAUGCCGCGUGAGUGAUGAAGGCGGUAGGGUUGUAAAGCUCUUUUACCCGGGAUGAUAAUGACGGAACCGGGAGAAUAAGCUCCGGCUAAUUCCGU